Molecule: ribosomal RNA, 451 nt
Filed under: uncultured bacterium
Lineage: Bacteria
Description: partial 16S ribosomal RNA
Rfam family: Bacterial small subunit ribosomal RNA
Source: RNAcentral
GUGGGGAAUAUUGGACAAUGGGGGGAACCCUGAUCCAGCCAUGCCGCGUGUGUGAAGAAGGCCUUUUGGUUGUAAAGCACUUUAAGCGAGGAGGAGGCUACCGAGAUUAAUACUCUUGGAUAGUGGACGUUACUCGCAGAAUAAGCACCGGCUAACUCUGUGCCAGCAGCCGCGGUAAUACAGAGGGUGCAAGCGUUAAUCGGAUUUACUGGGCGUAAAGCGCGCGUAGGUGGCCAAUUAAGUCAAAUGUGAAAUCCCCGAGCUUAACUUGGGAAUUGCAUUCGAUACUGGUUGGCUAGAGUAUGGGAGAGGAUGGUAGAAUUCCAGGUGUAGCGGUGAAAUGCGUAGAGAUCUGGAGGAAUACCGAUGGCGAAGGCAGCCAUCUGGCCUAAUACUGACACUGAGGUGCGAAAGCAUGGGAAGCAAACAGGAUUAGAAACCCUAGUAGUCC